GCUGAAGAACGCAGCGAAAUGCGAUAAGUAGUGUGAAUUGCAGAAUUCAGUGAAUCAUCGAAUCUUUGAACGCACAUUGCGCCCCUUGGUAUUCCAUGGGGCAUGCCUGUUCGAGCGUCAUUUGUACCUUCAAGCUUUGCUUGGUGUUGGGUGUUUGUCCAUUCUCUUGCAGAGGGACUCGCCUUAAAGUAAUUGGCAGCCAGUGUUUUGGUUUUGAAGCGCAGCACAAGUCGCGAUUCAACGCUAUACGCCAGCUUCCACAAGCCUUUUUCACUUUUGACCUCGGAUCAGGUAGGGAUACCCGCUGAACUUAAGCAUAUCAAUAAGCGGAGGA
Molecule: unclassified non-coding RNA, 334 nt
Filed under: soil metagenome
Description: partial contains 5.8S ribosomal RNA, internal transcribed spacer 2, and large subunit ribosomal RNA
Rfam family: 5.8S ribosomal RNA (bases 3-120)
Source: RNAcentral